RNAcentral lists this unclassified non-coding RNA (207 nucleotides) under soil metagenome. RNAcentral's name for it is "partial contains 5.8S ribosomal RNA, internal transcribed spacer 2, and large subunit ribosomal RNA". The record is from RNAcentral.
AACCAUAGAAACCUGCGGAGUACCUGCGGAAGGAUCAUUACCGAGUUUACAACUCCCAAACCCCUGUGAACAUACCUAUACGUUGCCUCGGCGGAUCAGCCCGCGCCCUGUAAAAAGGGACGGCCCGCCCGAGGACCCUAAACUCUGUUUUUAGUGGAACUUCUGAGUAAAACAAACAAAUAAAUCAAAACUUUCAGCAAUGGAUCU